GCGUGCAAAAGUUGUUCAUGUUUCCAAAUUUUGUUUUGGAAUUUGAAAAAUGUUCCUGUUUUUUAGGAAUUGUUCCUGUUCAGUUUUUUGACUAGUUUAAAAAAUGUUCUGUUUUUAAAAAAUGUUCGCUUCUCCAAAAUUCAUUUGCAUGUUUAAAUAUGUUUGAGUUUUCUCAAAAUGCUGAACAAAUUUGAAAAUUGUUCCCGUUUUAUUGUCGAAAGAAAUUGUGUUAGAAUUGAAAGCAUUCGGAUCGGCGUUUGAGUUUCUUGAGGUGUUGUGUUGUGCUGUAAUCAUUAAAGGUCACUAGCUCAACUGGUUAGAGUCAUAUGCUCUCAAGCAGCCGGUCUUGUGUACCUGUAGCGAAGACAGAAACAUGAUGAGGAACACAACCGUUAUACAUUGUUUUAAAUUUCAUCAGGUCAAGCAAACAGAAUCAAUCCCAUAUUUACCGCACUCCACAUCUAGAACCUGAAUUCAACAUGUUUGAAGUGAAAAAAACAAAGUCUUGCCGGGCAGGUCGACAGGGAGGAGGCAACAGCAAAAGAGCAGGAAUCAGGAAAAUCAUAGAUGGAAACAUGGGGAAACACCACCAGGCACAAACGAUAUAUGCUCUAGUGACUUAUGCAACCAACUUAUCAAGCUUGCCUAAGCAAAUAUCAAAAUACGCUUAUAAAUUACUUAAAUGCAAGGUAACUGCAGAAUGUUGAUGGAUGCAUCCUAACACGACAAAACAUAUGAACAAAAAUAGAAACUGCCACUAGUAGACAUCACACACAACUGUCAGAUAACAAAACAGAAACAGUUCGCAUCACCAAAACUGUUUGUGCAUCCACUUGCUUGGUUUUUCCUCAAACCUUAAACUCAGACAAGAAAAUCAUGUGAACUUCACAGGCCAACUCCACAAAGUGGAUGCUGAUUUGCUAUCUUCUGUUCCAUAAUUUCUAGUCCAGCAAACCACUUUAUUUUUCUUAAUUACCAGCAAAACAGAAGAAGCUACACUGACGACACCAAAUCAGAGCAAAUACUACUUGUGGAGCAGAGGAAUACAUCCUAACAAGUCAACCGAACAUGCUACACAAACGCCAUAUCAACAACAGACAGCCCCAGGCAAAGCACUACAACCAAUCAUCAUCAUGCUGCAUCAAACCCGAAAAUCCAAUCUCUAAACCAAAGCCCCUAGUCCACACUCAGACUCACCAAAUCAAAACUGCCCCUGUACAAGACGACGUUUGUCAAACCCUAGAAACACUGGAGAAGACACUAACACAGCUAUACACUCGAUCUAGCGGUACCACACAGAGAGAAGGAACACAUCGCGGGAAAUUGGCGCCGUUACCUUCAAGACGACGAACUUGACAAAGCCCAAUUCGAGGCCGAGCUUGAUGAAACCCUAGAAGACGCAGACCUUCACGGGAGCCUUGACGCCGCAGACCUUGAAGGAACCCUAGAAGCCGACGGAGACACUAGCCACCUGCAAAAAAACAUCUAGCCAGAUCAGACGAAUCGGGAGCGGGGGCAGUGGGGAGAGGACCGUCGACUGCUCACGAGGGGCGGCGGUGUAUUGCCGGAGUAGGAUCCCCGGAGGAAGAAGCAGGUGAAGAACGAGGAAGGGGGAUCCGGCAGG
RNAcentral lists this long non-coding RNA (1624 nucleotides) under Triticum aestivum (bread wheat). RNAcentral's name for it is "long non-coding RNA (TAES_LNC024432)". Lineage: Eukaryota; Viridiplantae; Streptophyta; Magnoliopsida; Poales; Poaceae. The record is from RNAcentral.